Molecule: RNA transcript, 1054 nt
Organism: Humulus lupulus (European hop)
Lineage: Eukaryota; Viridiplantae; Streptophyta; Magnoliopsida; Rosales; Cannabaceae
Exons: 5
Source: RefSeq, a predicted model, not a curated record
AGGAAACCUUAUACACAAGUCUUUGUUUUCUUUAUCCUCUCAUAUUAUAUUAUACAAAUAUAUAGUUUUCUGUGUUACCUGACGCCAUGGAUCCGAAAGAAAUCUCCAUAAAUGUUGAUGAUGAACAGGGUCUGUUUAAGAUUCUAUCUCUGACUUGGACAGUUGAGCUUGAUGAAGAUCAUAGAUCUGAAAAUUUUGGUAUAGGAACAUUGUUGAAUGUUUUAUUGGCUGAUUCAGAAAUUGGCAAGGCUUUUGGUGGAGUUGAACAGAUACUAGUAGCUGCUACACCUAUUAAGGCUCUAGUUAAUUAUUUUUCUUGAUUAUUGUUAAUUGCAAGAGAUGGUUAGGUCACUAUUAUAAGGAAAAUGUUGCUCGAAUUCAUCUAGAAUUAUGGUUUGUUUUCUUAUAUUUAAAUUAUGUUGUGCUUGCAUUGUUCUUCUUUGAUUGGUAUUGGGAAGCUCUGUCAAAAUUUAAGUUAAAAAGAUAGUAUAUUAAUAGGAAUAUGACAACGCUAAAAAUUUGUUAUGGGAAUUUUCUACAUGCAGGAGGAUUUUAGUCGAAUUUUAGGGAAACCUCUGUCGAAUUUUUUUCUAGGAAAUGGACAAGAGUUUGAUAACAAAGGACAUGCUUUCAAAAGAGUAUGAAGAGGGAGUUGACAACUUUAUUUUCCUCGUCAACCAUUACAAUCAGUACAAUGUGGAUUCUAUGUUAUGAGGAUGAUGAAAGACUUCGUGACAAAGGAGUUUUCAAUGCGAUGGCUAACUAGUAACUGUGGCGGGAAGAACUCUUACACAAAGGAUGAGAUCAACGAAGUGCGUGAAGAAUGGGCACAAUGCGUCAUGAAUUUGAUUAGUACUACAUAGGUCCAGUCACUUUUGUUAACUUAGACUUUUAAGGAGAUACACUUACAAUGUUAACUGAGACUUUCUUGAAGAUAUACAUACUUUUAUUGUCUAACUAUAGUUUACAAUGCUUAUAUGAGUAAUUUGUAAUUAACUUUAGACUCGUUAUUUUGGAUACUUAGUUCAAAUUCUAGUAUUUUAUAUUACUAUGA